Molecule: RNA transcript, 2613 nt
Organism: Gossypium raimondii (Peruvian cotton)
Lineage: Eukaryota; Viridiplantae; Streptophyta; Magnoliopsida; Malvales; Malvaceae
Gene name: fluoride export protein 1
Exons: 9
Source: RefSeq, a predicted model, not a curated record
AACUCGAACACAUGGCUUAGAAACAACACAGCGCGUGACAUUCAUUGAUUCUGCUUUCUUCAUCAUCUGCAACCAAUCUUACCUCAGUUUUCCCUUUAUUAUUUAAUACACACCAUUUAUUCGUUUUCAGUUUUUAACUCUUCCAAAACAUUGAAAAACACCCUUUUUCUGGGUUUUCCCUUUUCAAUACUUUUAUCUCUAUUUUACAUCAAAACUCCAUCUGUUUUUCCCCAUUAGUUCUUGUUCAUGGCGCGUUUGUUUGCUUUAAAUCCUCUCUAUUAAAUUUUUUUUCCAGUUGUUCGUUUCCCUGGGCGUUCUAACUUUCGACUAUUAGUAUUUGGAUCGAAAUCCGAUAUUUCUGGCAGGAUGGAUAUGGAUCAUGGUACUAAUAACCCUGAGCAUACGAGAACUGGAGCAUUUAGCCGGACAGGCAGCCUUGGCUCUUCAUUAAGGAAGCGUUCCUUUAGUAUAUCAAGUUCCGUGUCCUAUCGUAUCGAUGAUGACAUUGGAAGUGAGGCUGUUUCGGAGGCAGGGGAUAUUGGUGAUCGGGCUCUUCAAAGCAACAGGCACAGUGUGAGUAGUAGUUGCCGCUUAUCUCUGGAUCUUGCAAUGGAAGGCGGGUCAGUUAUUCAUCCAGAAGAUUUGCAUAAAGUCUCUGUUGCGUCACCCGUGCUAGAGGAUGUCACAUCUCCCCUUCCACUUGAUCUAUUAAAGGGCCCUGGGGAUGAAAAACAAGAAAAACAAAGACUACCUAUGUCGUUGGAGUAUAUCUCAUGUCUUAUCCAUUUGGCUGUUUUCGGAAUUCUCGGGGUUUUCACAAGAUAUUUGCUUGAAAAACUUUUUGGACCGAGUCUUUUAGGUGUGACCAGCAAUGAGACCAUUGUAUACCCCAACCUUCCUUCUAAUAUGGUUGGCUCUUUCUUGAUGGGGUGGUGGGGUGUUGUUUUCAAAGGUGACAUAUCUCAAGUAUCCGAUAUUUUGGCAAUUGGAUUGACUACCGGAUACUUGGGUAGCGUCACAACAUUCAGUGGUUGGAAUCAGAAAAUGCUUGAUCUCAGUGUAGAUGGCCACUGGGUGCAAGCUAUACUUGGGUUUCUCAUAGGCUUGUUUCUUGUAGCUUAUUCUAUCAUUUUUGGGAUAGAGACAGCAAAGGGUUUCCGGUGGAUUCUCAAAAAGCUGAAUACAAGACCGGAAAAGGGAGUCCCGAGCUGUAACUGUAAUUGGACACUCAACAGCUCCAGCCGUCAUUUGGUAGCAAUGGUGAUAUUAUUGUUAGUUCUUGGUGUUUUAUUGAGCGUGAGUGGAUUGCUGCUCAAGGAAGAAUUUAGCAGUGGUAGCAGUGGAGCUCAGCUGUGGCUGGCUUGCUUAGUUGGACCUUUCGGAGUAUGGAUCAGGUGGUUCUUGGCUCGACUUAAUGGACGUGGGUUAGGAAAAUCUGGGAUUUUGAGAUGGCUUCCAUUCGGGACAUUGAUCACCAACGUUUCUGCUGCUUGUAUAAUGGCUGGACUCUCCACGAUUGAAAAGUCGGUAAAUAUCAAGAACUUCGACACUGUUGCAAACGGGAUACAGCUAGGAUUUCUGGGUUGUUUGAGUACAGUUUCAACUUUCAUUGCCGAGUUCAAUGCAAUGAGAGAAAGCAAGCACCCUUGGAGAGCUUACCUUUAUGCUUCAACUACAAUGGGGAUUUCAUUUGUUUUAGGGAUUCUAAUAUACAAUGUACCUGUUUGGACAAAAGGAUUUCCUUAGAAUCUGGGGGCUGCCGCAGGUAUGGGUUAUGUUUUGAACCCGGGGAUGUCUAAAGUUGACGAGAACACAUUGGUUUGUUCAUAGAAAUGAACACCUGCUGUGACAAGACCUUGCUGUCCGUUAGUAUUCUCCACCUAAUACAUUUACACGAUUUGUACCAGAGAGCAAGAGAAACUAAUGAACCAUACUUCUUGAGAGAAUCAAAUCGACCCGGAUUUACAAGAGACCUCUCUCUAUCAACACACCAUGUAGCAACAUAUAUUGGUGCAAGAUCAUUAAGAUCUGAUUGUUUAGGGUUUUCGUUGGAGUUUCCCGUGACUUGGCAACUCGAUCUUGGUCCGGGCGCAACCCCCGUAUCACUUAGUCACUUAGAGGAGCAAGAAACAAAGUGUUGUGGCUCGAUCAAGUGCAGAGGCUGAGUAUAGGGUCAUGGCUCAAGGAGUUUGUGAGCUUUUAUGGCUACAAAAAGUAUUGGAAGAGCUGAAGUUGUUGAAUGAAAAUGGAUCAACCUUGUACUGUGACAACAAGGCGGCCAUCAACAUAGCUCAAAAUCCAGUACAGCACGAUAGAACCAAACACAUCGAAAUAUAUCGUCAUUUUAUCAAGGAAAUAGUAGUUAGUGGUGCCUUAAGUUUAUCUUACCUAGCAUCCGAAAAACAGUUGGCUAAUGUUUUUACUAAAUGACUCAACUGUAAGACUUAUCAUAAUCUUCUUUACAAGUUAUGCAUGCAAGACAUCUAUGCACCAACUUGAGGGGGAGUAUUGAGAAUCUUUGAUUAUUUGAUAUUAUUAAAUAAUAUUUUUAGAGACUACAGCUGAUAUUUUUAGAGAUUCUAAUUAAGAGAUAUUAUUUCCUUAGUUGUUAAA